Molecule: ribosomal RNA, 361 nt
Filed under: uncultured Dothideales
Lineage: Eukaryota; Fungi; Ascomycota; Dothideomycetes; Dothideales
Description: SSU rRNA
Rfam family: Eukaryotic small subunit ribosomal RNA
Source: RNAcentral
UUGUAGUCAUAUGCUUGUCUCAAAGAUUAAGCCAUGCAUGUCUAAGUAUAAGCAACUAUACGGUGAAACUGCGAAUGGCUCAUUAAAUCAGUUAUCGUUUAUUUGAUAGUACCUUACUACUUGGAUAACCGUGGUAAUUCUAGAGCUAAUACAUGCUAAAAACCCCAACUUCGGAAGGGGUGUAUUUAUUAGAUAAAAAACCAACGCCCUUCGGGGCUCCUUGGUGAUUCAUAAUAACUAAACGAAUCGCAUGGCCUUGCGCCGGCGAUGGUUCAUUCAAAUUUCUGCCCUAUCAACUUUCGAUGGUAGGAUAGUGGCCUACCAUGGUAUCAACGGGUAACGGGGAAUGGGGCGGGGGCGG